GAUCAUCUGGUAACGAAUGGGAGGAUGGCAGAAAAAGAAGCAAGGAAGAAGUUCAGUCAAAUUGUUUCAGCAAUUGAGUAUUGCCAUAAAAGAUUUGUUGUACAUAGAGAUCUCAAGGUGAGACUGAAACGACAGUUGACGAAAUUAUAUUAUUUUUGUUUGCCUAUUUUUGUUCGGUUGCAUUCUUGUUUGUUUGUUUGUUUGUUUGUUUGUUUGUUUGUUUGUUUGUUUGUUUGUUUGUUUGUUUGUUUGUUUGUUUGUUUGUUUGUUUGUUUGUUUGUGUGUUUGUUUGUUUGUUUGUUUGUUUGUUUGUUUGCUCUACUUUAUUUUACUUUACUUUCUUUUCCUGAUUUCUUUAUGUUUGUUGUUUCCUUGUUUAAUGCUGCCUAACACCACUGGUCACUAUCAUCUAAAUAUUUUUAAGAAGGAGUUGAUGUUUUUAAUCAUCAGAACUCUAUGAAAUAUCGCAUUUCAAACUCUAGAUUAGAAAAUGUUCUUGGGGUAGGUGCACACCCUCUCAGGAUGUGCUAACACGGUCCAAUUUAAGAUUUAUAUUUUCCAAGGCGAAAUUUUUCUCUUUUUACAGGCAUGUUUCAUUCUUCUAUCUGAUAAUAAUUCGUAAAAAUACAUUUUCGUGCUUCGAUCACAUUAGAAUAAAUGAAAUAGUUUGUUUUUGGCUUAAGAUGUUUAACUUAUUCUAUAUUUUGUGUUGUCAGGCGGAGAACCUCUUACUUGACGAAAAUCUGAAUAUAAAAAUUGCAGGUACAAUGCCAUUAGUCACGUGCUGAUGCAUUCAGGG
Molecule: non-coding RNA, 799 nt
Organism: Paramuricea clavata
Lineage: Eukaryota; Metazoa; Cnidaria; Anthozoa; Malacalcyonacea; Plexauridae
Source: the annotation of a GenBank genome assembly